This 468-nucleotide ribosomal RNA is filed under the name uncultured bacterium. Its description in RNAcentral is "partial 16S ribosomal RNA". It matches the Rfam family "Bacterial small subunit ribosomal RNA", at positions 28 to 507 of the family's 1533-position model. The record is from RNAcentral.
GACGAACGCUGGCGGCGUGCUUAACACAUGCAAGUCGAACGGAAAGGCCCUGCUUUUGUGGGGUGCUCGAGUGGCGAACGGGUGAGUAACACGUGAGUAACCUGCCCUUGACUUUGGGAUAACUUCAGGAAACUGGGGCUAAUACCGGAUAGGAGCUCCUGCUGCAUGGUGGGGGUUGGAAAGUUUCGGCGGUUGGGGAUGGACUCGCGGCUUAUCAGCUUGUUGGUGGGGUAGUGGCUUACCAAGGCUUUGACGGGUAGCCGGCCUGAGAGGGUGACCGGGGACCAGGGGACUGAGGUAGGGCGCAGUCGGGAACUGUGGACAGCGGUGGGGAAUAUUGCACAGUGGGCGGGAGUGUGUGAAGAAAGCCUCCGGGGCGGAAAGACGGCUUGUCGGGAAAGAACCCCUUGGCCCUGAGACGAUGGGGGGAUGACGGUACUGGAAAAAUAAGCACCGGCUAACUACGUG